Molecule: long non-coding RNA, 253 nt
Organism: Etheostoma spectabile (orangethroat darter)
Lineage: Eukaryota; Metazoa; Chordata; Actinopteri; Perciformes; Percidae
Exons: 4
Source: RefSeq, a predicted model, not a curated record
CUGAAAAACAGAGUUUUAUGGAAACAGACGUGAGGAACCAGCAGAGAAAAUGGGGAGUCGCUAAGCUAACGUUAUGGCCGACGUUACGUUUGCAGCAAGCAUUUUAUUACAAGUCAAAUAUCCAAAUUGUUAGUUGUAACCUAACUAUACGUCUGUAAGUUAAGCUAACACACGUAACGUCGGACAUAACGUUAGCUUAGCGCCUCCCCAUUCUCUCUGCUGGUUCCUCACGUCUGUUUCCACUUUUGUCUUC